CUGCUGCACCACAUUUCGGAUCAGAACAUCUAGAUCCAUCAAAACAAGAGGAUAUGAAAAGACACAUGAGACAAAAUGAGAAAAAAGGCCAGAUAAUCUACAGAGUCAUAACUUUUCUUGAGCCCUUCAGAGAGCUGGAGUCGCAAGGCAGCCAACUGAACUGAAACCUAAAGGAUGACAAGAUCUUCUGAGAAAGACAGAACCACCCACUCCUGCACCUCUGGCAGAACCCUGGAGGGAGAGUGGGCUGCCAUAACAGACAGCUAACACUGCAAUGAAUUCUUAAAGGCUGAGUGUGCAAAGGCUUUACAGCUGAGCCAUCCCAGGAGCCCCCACACUUAAAAGGAGUUCACGUUCCUUCAUCAGCUGCUUCCGGUAAAGCUCAGGA
This 388-nucleotide long non-coding RNA is filed under the name Homo sapiens (human). RNAcentral's name for it is "non-protein coding lnc-PTPRU-2:1". Lineage: Eukaryota; Metazoa; Chordata; Mammalia; Primates; Hominidae. The record is from RNAcentral.